GUAGUCCAUGCCGUAAACGUUGGGCACUAGGUGUGGGGGACAUUCCACGUUUUCCGCGCCGUAGCUAACGCAUUAAGUGCCCCGCCUGGGGAGUACGGCCGCAAGGCUAAAACUCAAAGGAAUUGACGGGGGCCCGCACAAGCGGCGGAGCAUGCGGAUUAAUUCGAUGCAACGCGAAGAACCUUACCAAGGCUUGACAUGGGCCGGACCGGGCUGGAAACAGUCCUUCCCCUUUGGGGCCGGUUCACAGGUGGUGCAUGGUUGUCGUCAGCUCGUGUCGUGAGAUGUUGGGUUAAGUCCCGCAACGAGCGCAACCCUCGUUCCAUGUUGCCAGCGCGUAAUGGCGGGGACUCAUGGGAGACUGCCGGGGUCAACUCGGAG
Molecule: ribosomal RNA, 381 nt
Filed under: uncultured bacterium
Lineage: Bacteria
Description: bacterial SSU rRNA
Rfam family: Bacterial small subunit ribosomal RNA
Source: RNAcentral